CAGAUGGGUUAGUAUUAUAGGUGUGGUACUAGACAGAUGGGUUAGUAUUAUAGGUGUGGUACUAGACAGAUGGGUUAGUUAUAUAGGUGUGGUACUAGACAGAUGGAUUAGUAUUAUAGGUGUGGUACUAGACAGAUGGAUUAGUAUUAUAGGUGUGGUACUGGACAGAUGGGUUAUGGGUAGUAUUAUAGGUGUGGAACUAGACAGGUGGGUUAGUAUUAUAGGUGUGGUACUGGACAGAUGGGUUAGUAUUAUAGGUGUGGUACUAGACAGAUGGGUUAUGGGUAGUAUUAUAGGUGUGGUACUGGACAGAUGGGUUAGUAUUAUAGGUGUGGUACUGGACAGAUGGGUUAGAAUUAUAGGGGUGGUACUGGACAGAUGGGUUGGUAUUAUAGGUGUGGUACUAGACAGAUGGGUUAGUAUUAUAGGUGUGGUACUAGACAGAUGGGUUAGUUAUAUAGGUGUGGUACUAGACAGAUGGAUUAGUAUUAUAGGUGUGGUACUAGACAGAUGGUUUAGUAUUAUAGGUGUGGUACUGGACAGAUGGGUUAUGGGUAGUAUUAUAGGUGUGGAACUAGACAGAUGGGUUAGUAUUAUAGGUGUGGUACUGGACAGAUGGGUUAGUAUUAUAGGUGUGGUACUAGACAGAUGGGUUAUGGGUAGUAUUAUAGGUGUGGUACUGGACAGAUGGGUUAGUAUUAUAGGUGUGGUACUGGACAGAUGGGUUAGAAUUAUAGGGGUGGUACUGGACAGAUGGGUUGGUAUUAUAGGUGUGGUACAAGACAGAUGGUUUAUGGGUAGUACUAAAGGUGUGGUAAUAGACAGAUGGGUUAUGGGUAGUAUUAUACGUGUGGUACUGGACAGAUGGGUUAGUAUUAUAGGAAUGGUACUAGACAGAUGGGUUAGUAUUAUAGGUGUGGUACUGGACAGAUGGGUUAGAAUUAUAGGGGUGGUACUGGACAGAUGGGUUGGUAUUAUAGGUGUGGUACAAGACAGAUGGUUUAUGGGUAGUACUAAAGGUGUGGUAAUAGACAGAUGGGUUAUGGGUAGUAUUAUACGUGUGGUACUGGACAGAUGGGUUAGUAUUAUAGGAAUGGUACUAGACAGAUGGGUUAGUA
RNAcentral lists this long non-coding RNA (1118 nucleotides) under Salmo salar (Atlantic salmon). Its description in RNAcentral is "lncRNA (ENSSSAG00000119055.1)". Lineage: Eukaryota; Metazoa; Chordata; Actinopteri; Salmoniformes; Salmonidae. The record is from RNAcentral.